CUACCCUUUUGUCCUCUCUUCCUCUCCUACUUCCCCUCCAUCUUUUUCCUUCUUCCUCUCCUUUAUUUCUUGCUUCUCACCUUCUUCUCUUUGUUUAUUUCUUUCCUUCCUGUCCGUAAAACUAUAACAUGAAGGAAAUGUAAUCACUUCAAACUCCUGCAAAGUUGUUUUGGAUCCCAGAACUCCCCAGGGGGUCAAAGGUCGGGUUGGGGUAGUGCGUGAAGGCGGUGGAGUUCAGGAUCAGCAGAGAAGAGACCUGGACAGCAUGACAAUAUUGAUAUGAUAUUAAUAAAAACAAUAAGGUUCAUAUGUUACAUGUUGGUAAAGGACAGAGCUCCUGUCGGACUGAACACUACGAUCAACCCUUCAACCAGUUCAGUAGUCGGCCUUUGACUGGGACAGACUGGAACAAUCCAACCCAUCUAUACCUGAGGUACAGGGAUCUGUCUACCCUCUUCAUCUGCUGUGGUGUUCCACAGGGUCUCGUCCUCGGUCCUGUUGUGUUGGCCUCGUAUGAGCAGCUGGAUGAACAUCCCUGGAUCGUCUGGUCCAAAACGCUCCAGCAGAGCCUUAGAGCCUUCAUUCAGCUAAUUCAGAAUCCAGUUCCAGACUCAUGCCAUCACUUCUGGACUCCUGCUGAGUCCUGCACGUGGCCUGAACUCCCAGUCAAGUGAUUAU
Molecule: long non-coding RNA, 678 nt
Organism: Scatophagus argus
Lineage: Eukaryota; Metazoa; Chordata; Actinopteri; Scatophagidae
Exons: 3
Source: RefSeq, a predicted model, not a curated record